CCCUUAGAUGUUCUGGGCUGCACGCGCGCUACACUGAUGCAUGCAACGAGUUUUCGACCUUGCCUGAAAAGGUUGGGUAAUCUGUUUAACAUGUGUCGUGAUGGGGAUAGACCAUUGCAAUUAUUGAUCUUCAACGAGGAAUUCCUAGUAAGCGCGAGUCAUCAGCUCGUGCUGAUUAUGUCCCUGCCCUUUGUACACACCGCUCGUCGCUCCUACCGAUUGAGUGAUCCGGUGAAUGAUUCGGACCAGCGUGCUGCUCAGAUCCUGCGCAGUGUGCUGGGAAGUCUAGUGAACCUUAUCACUUAGAGGAAGGAGAAGUCGUAACA
This 326-nucleotide ribosomal RNA is filed under the name uncultured eukaryote. RNAcentral describes it as "partial 18S ribosomal RNA". It matches the Rfam family "Eukaryotic small subunit ribosomal RNA", at positions 1470 to 1796 of the family's 1831-position model. The record is from RNAcentral.